AUUGAACGCUGGCGGCAUGCUUUACACAUGCAAGUCGAACGGCAGCGGGGAGGAGCUUGCUUCUCUGCCGGCGAGUGGCGAACGGGUGAGUAAUACAUCGGAACGUGUCGAGAAGAGGGGGAUAACCACCCGAAAGGGUGGCUAAUACCGCAUAAAUUCUGAGGAAGAAAGCUGGGGACCUAGGAAUAGGCCUAGCGCUUUUUGAGCGGCCGAUGUCGGAUUAGCUAGUUGGUGAGGUAAAGGCUCACCAAGGCGAAGAUCUGUAGCGGGUCUGAGAGGAUGAUCCGCCACACUGGGACUGAGACACGGCCCAGACUCCUACGGGAGGCAGCAGUGGGGAAUUUUGGACAAUGGGGGCAACCCUGAUACAGCCAUGCCGCGUGUAUGAAGAAGGCCUUAGGGUUGUAAAGUACUUUUGUUAGGGAAGAAAAGUCAGCUGUGAAUAAUGGCUGAUACUGACGGUACCUAAAGAAUAAGCACCGGCUAACUACGUG
This 494-nucleotide ribosomal RNA is filed under the name uncultured bacterium. RNAcentral's name for it is "partial 16S ribosomal RNA". It matches the Rfam family "Bacterial small subunit ribosomal RNA", at positions 30 to 507 of the family's 1533-position model. The record is from RNAcentral.